RNAcentral lists this long non-coding RNA (710 nucleotides) under Gossypium barbadense (sea-island cotton). RNAcentral's name for it is "long non-coding RNA (GBAR_LNC012864)". The record is from RNAcentral. Lineage: Eukaryota; Viridiplantae; Streptophyta; Magnoliopsida; Malvales; Malvaceae.
CUUGGCCUCCACGUACGGUGGUUGGAAACUGAAAAGUUUCCUUUUUCCAACACGAAUCGAAAUGGUACGCUUCCCUUUUCCUUUUCAUUAUUCGGAAUAUAUACAUGUACAUAUAUUUAAAGCAUUCACCUUUAUGUAUUUCGAUCGACUGUUGGUUUCUUUAGUAUAAGAACGAUUUUGUUUUUAUUGAAUCUCUCUGUUCUUCCCAAAAAAACCCCUUUCAGAUUAAAAGAAAGGGGUUUUUAUAACCCUCAAUUACAUCUUAGGGAAAGAAUCUGUUGAUUUCUUUCCAUGUUUAUUUCCUUUACUGUUGUGGUUCUUCUUCUCUUUUGCAGGUACCAUUGAGGAUUUCAUGGCGAGGAAACGUUGAUCCAUGCACCGAUCAUGGCGCGUCAUGGGGCCUGGAAUCACGGCACCGAUGGUGGUGACGAUUGGCGUGCCUGUGAUACAAGCUCUGGAACCUUCCGUUUGCGGCGCCUAGGGUUCCAGAAACCCUAGGUUUUCCUUCUCCUGUUUACCAAAUUGGGCCAUUUGGGCCAUACCUGGUUGGGUGUAAACAGGCUAGUAUUUGGUUGGGCUAAAAUGUAAUUUUGGGCUUGUGUGUAACGGGUUUGAGGUUUUAAGUAUUUGGGCCACUAACAUUUGGGUUUUUGUAAACUGGACUGAAAUAAAUAAACUUUUAUUUAUUUAUUUAUUUUUAUUUGUUUAUC